CCAAUAGCGUAUAUUAAAGUUGUUGCAGUUAAAAAGCUCGUAGUUGAAUUUCGGGAUCAGUACGCUGGUCGUGCCUUGGUAUGUACUGGUGUUACUGGUUCCUACCUUCUGACGAACCGUCAUGUCAUUAAUUUGGUGUGGCGGGGAAUCAGGACUGUUACUUUGAAAAAAUUAGAGUGUUUAAAGCAGGCUCGCGCUUGAAUACAUUAGCAUGGAAUAAUGAAAUAGGACGUUUGAUCCUAUUUUGUUGGUUUCUAGGAUUGACGUAAUGAUUAAUAGGGAUAGUUGGGGGCAUUAGUAUUCAAUUGUCAGAGGUGAAAUUCUUGGAUUUAUUGAAGACUAACUACUGCGAAAGCAUUUGCCAAGGAUGUUUUCAUUAAUCAAGAACGAAAGUUAGGGGAUCGAAGACGAUCAGAUACCGUCGUAGUCUUAACCAUAAACUAUGCCGACUAGGGAUCGGAUGAUGUUAAUUUUUUAAUGACUCAUUCGGCGCCUUACG
RNAcentral lists this ribosomal RNA (499 nucleotides) under uncultured Glomeromycotina. RNAcentral describes it as "partial small subunit ribosomal RNA". It matches the Rfam family "Eukaryotic small subunit ribosomal RNA", at positions 591 to 1092 of the family's 1831-position model. Lineage: Eukaryota; Fungi; Glomeromycota. The record is from RNAcentral.